RNAcentral lists this ribosomal RNA (325 nucleotides) under uncultured Pelotomaculum sp. Its description in RNAcentral is "bacterial SSU rRNA". It matches the Rfam family "Bacterial small subunit ribosomal RNA", at positions 1055 to 1382 of the family's 1533-position model. Lineage: Bacteria; Bacillati; Bacillota; Clostridia; Eubacteriales; Desulfotomaculaceae. The record is from RNAcentral.
UCAGCUCGUGUCGUGAGAUGUUGGGUUAAGUCCCGCAACGAGCGCAACCCCUACGUUAGUUGCUAACGCGUGAAGGCGAGCACUCUAGACGAACUGCCGUUGACAAAACGGAGGAAGUGGGAUGACGUCAAAUCAUCAUGCCCCUUAUGUUCUGGGCUACACACGUGCUACAAUGGCCGGUACAGACGGACGCAAAGCCGCGAGGUGGAGCAAAUCCUAAAAAGCCGGUCUCAGUUCGGAUUGCAGGCUGCAAUUCGCCUGCAUGAAGUCGGAAUCGCUAGUAAUCGCAGGUCAGCAUACUGCGGUGAAUACGUUCCCGGGCCUU